UACGUAGGGUGCAAGCGUUGUCCGGAAUUAUUGGGCGUAAAGAGCUCGUAGGCGGUCUGUUGCGUCGGCUGUGAAAACCCGAGGCUCAACCUCGGGCCUGCAGCCGAUACGGGCAGACUAGAGUUCGGCAGGGGAGACUGGAAUUCCUGGUGUAGCGGUGAAAUGCGCAGAUAUCAGGAGGAACACCGGUGGCGAAGGCGGGUCUCUGGGCCGAUACUGACGCUGGAGGAGC
Molecule: ribosomal RNA, 232 nt
Filed under: uncultured bacterium
Lineage: Bacteria
Description: partial 16S ribosomal RNA
Rfam family: Bacterial small subunit ribosomal RNA
Source: RNAcentral